Molecule: non-coding RNA, 2084 nt
Organism: Caretta caretta (loggerhead turtle)
Lineage: Eukaryota; Metazoa; Chordata; Testudines; Cheloniidae
Source: RefSeq, a predicted model, not a curated record
CUGUAUGCUGCUCUUGCCAGAGACAGACCAGGAAUGGAGUCUUAGAACUUUUACUUGUAACGUCUAUGGGGCAAGGACUGUAACUUCCUAAAUGUCUCUACAGUGACUGAGAUGCCGUGUAGCUGUAGUUGCAUUGGAGCCAGGAUAUUAGAGAGAAAAGAGAGGUUAAUGGAUAAACAUUAUGGGGCAGAUUCUCUCUCCUGCUCUGGACCCUCUGUGCCACGCUGGUGAUGCAAGAGCCUUGAAGAGGCCAUAUCUAGCCAGACAAGCUGUCAUGUGCAGUGAAUGAGAUCCUAUUUAGCAGUAUCAAACAGAAGACAAUAAAGGGCCAACUCCUCAGCUGACUUCAACAGAGCUCUCCCAGUUUACACCAGCUGAGGAUCUGGGCCCCAGUGUCUUAAGAGAAAUGCUGUACCUGGUUUGACUGUCUUUGCCUUGUGAGGAUCUGACACUCAGAAAGUUAAAGAGCCAGCAUUCUGUAUUACAGCAGCACUUAGAGACCGCAACUGAGACCAUGUUGCCAUCAUACUAAGCACUAUACUACACAUGUACCCCUCUGGUCUGGUCUGCCCUUGAAGGUACAGGUAAGUAGAAAACAGUAUAACCCAAGCAUUGCACUCCCCACAGUGUGGGUGAGUCCUAAGGUAUAAGGAGGGGAUUCAGUUGUCAGAAUUAAACUCUAAAAAUCUCUAAAUAAAUAAAUACAAUAAAUACCCACUUUUCCCCAAAGAGACUGGAUUAUAGGAAUGUACAUUUAAGACUGAGAGAGUCAAUUGAAGAUACUCCCAGGAACAGUUAUAUUAAUGUCUGUUGGAAUUUGUCAGUUUGCAGGAAGCUCCUACAGUUGUAUUGCUAUUUCCUCAGCAUUGAAAAGUUGGCAAGAAAACAAAUUAGCCCAAGCAAAACUCUGUUAUCCUCUCCGCCCCCCACCUCCACCAUAAAUACAGGUGUCUCCCUUCCUCAAGUCCAGGAACCCCUCACCUACUGCACAGCUCUGAAUGGACUCUCUAUCUCUCUGUGUCUCUCACACCACCUGUGUCACUCUCAUUCAUUACACACGCACAUACACAUUCUGGAUUUUCUUAUGUGUGGAUGCAUGCUCGCACCUCAACUAUCACACACAAACAUACAUACUCCCCACAUCACAAAAGCACACUUCCCAUAAGUUUCUCACACACUCUCCAGCCCCACACUACACCACCUCACCUUUCACUCACUGCCUUGACUCACUCUGAUUUACCCCAUUCAUUCCCGCACAUUAGUCAGAGGUACACAAGAAUGAUCACACUGGAUCAGACCAAAGGUCCAUCUAGUCCAUAUCCUGUCUCAAACAGUGGCCAGUGCUGGAUACUUCAGAGGAAGAUGCAAGAAACCCACAAUAGGCAGAAAUGGGAUAAUCGGCUCCCAUGGAGAUCUCAUCUUAAUCCAUAAUACUGAGAGACUGUCUUAAACCCUGGUGCAUGAGAUUUAAUAUCCCUUCCAAAUUUUUCAUAGCACUAACCAGUAUAACUUGGACUAUUCUUGUUACCUUACAAAUGACCAGUCCCUCUGUGAAUCUUGCUAAAUUCUUGGCCUCAACAACCACCUGUGGCAAUGAGUUCCCCAGUCUAUGCAGUCAUAACCAUACAGCUAAGGGUAACCUAGAAUUCCUCCUUACCUGUAAGGGGUUAAGAAGCUCAAAUAAACUGGUUGGCACCUGACCAAAAGGACCAAUGGGGAAAGAAGAUAUUUUCAAAUCUUGGGUGGGGGUGGGAGAAGGCUUUGUUGUGUGUGUUCUCUUGGGAAGCAGAGAAGCAUCAGGUCAAAAAACUCCUUCUCCUAUAAACCAUCCUAAAAGUCUUUCAUAUUAAAAAAAUUGUAAGUAAAAGGCAGGCAAGGCAUGUUAGAUUAUCUUUUGUUUUGCUUGUGAAUUUAUCCUUUGCUGGAGGGAGGUUUAUUCCUGUUUUUUGUAACUUUGAAACUAAGCCUAGGGGAAGUUCUGCUGUAUUUUUGAAUCUUCUGUUACCCUGUAAAGUUAUUUUCCAUCCUGAUUUUACAGAGGUGAUUUUUACCUUUUUUUUUAAAUAAAAUCCUUCUUUUAAGAA